AACCACUCAAGCAAUAUGCCCCAUGCCAGUUGACUUGCUUGUUGUUGUCAAUGCCAACUCAAAAUGGGUUACUACGAUGCUGUCAUGCUCUCUCUC
This is a non-coding RNA of Callorhinus ursinus (northern fur seal), 96 nucleotides long. Lineage: Eukaryota; Metazoa; Chordata; Mammalia; Carnivora; Otariidae. The record is from RefSeq and is a predicted model, not a curated record.